Long non-coding RNA from Gallus gallus (chicken), 1164 nucleotides. Lineage: Eukaryota; Metazoa; Chordata; Aves; Galliformes; Phasianidae. The record is from Ensembl.
GAGAAUACAAGUCCUCAGCUUCUCAAGGUCACUGUUAUUGUUUUGUGUCUUGCAUAGGCAGCUUGUUCUUGCAACCAGACUUCCUUGAUGUCCUUCUCUCAGUGAGGGAAUCACAGAACUCCAUUUGUGAGAAGCUGACAAGCCCUGGCAUACUUGGAGAGACUGAACAAAGAUCCAAAGAUUGUCCAUAAAGGCAAACAAACAAAAGACGUAAGACUAAUCUGAUUGUGGGAAAUAAAGAAAUGUAAAUAUAGUGCUAUCUAAAGUGAAAAAAUACUUGCAGACAACACCAGCUAUGUUCCCUUGUAUCCAUAGCAAAGGCUCAGAAGAUGAUGAAUGGCAUGUAGAGGAAAUCAGACUUUAACACAGUUAACAGCCACGUUCGUCUGAACUUGUUUGACUCACAGGCCUUAAGAAGUCCCUUUCUACUUUCUCAGGUAACCCAGCUGCAGAGUAGGCAAACACAUGGCUCUCCUGAAGACAUCUGAAGCAGAGGGUGGUGGAUACAAUACAAGCUGGGAUAGCUUUUGAACCUGUGGUCAUGACUGCAGGUGAUGUUUUGAAGUUGGAAUGCUAUAGAAGCCUUAGUGGCCUGCAGUAAGUACCAACUCAAACUGAACUGGGGUUAAUUCACUGUACUGUGUAUUCUACACAGCGAACAACUACUUGUAUUCAGCAUUCAUUAUGUUUAAAGUAACAAGAUCAUUGUGUGGUAAAAUGCAUGAAAUGAUAUGUGUUGAAAGUGUGCUUCUCCCUCCUUUCUCACUUGCCCCAUGUUAACACUGAAUCUUUGAGGACUUUGCCAGUCUGUAAUAAGUCUGAUUUCCUUUUGUUACAUAAUCAAGCUCUGGAAAGACUGAAAUCAAUCUUAGGCAACAACUAUGAAACCCUUUAUGCUGACAUCUCUCCAGCUGGAAAACUGGGUAAGAAGUAUAGUCUCACUUGCAGUCAGAAUCACAGAAUCACAGCAUGGCUGAAGACAAAGGCAUUUCUGGACUUUGUCUAGCCAAUCCAUUAUUCUAAGCAGUGUCAAUAAAGGCAGAUUUCUCAGAACCUUGUUCAGUAUGGUUUUGGAUAUCUCCAAGUAAGAGAGCUUCGUAUGCCUUCUAGUCAACCUGUCCCAGUGUUCUGCUACUCUCUCUGUAAUAAAGUAAAUAUAUAUGU